AACGAACGCUGGCGGCAGGCCUAACACAUGCAAGUCGAACGCCGUAGCAAUACGGAGUGGCAGACGGGUGAGUAACACGUGGGAACGUACCCUUCGGUUCGGGAUAACUCAGGGAAACUUGAGCUAAUACCGGAUACGUCCGAGAGGAGAAAGAUUUAUUGCCGAGGGAUCGGCCCGCGUCUGAUUAGCUUGUUGGUGAGGUAACGGCUCACCAAGGCGACGAUCAGUAGCUGGUCGAGAGGAU
This 244-nucleotide ribosomal RNA is filed under the name uncultured bacterium. RNAcentral describes it as "partial 16S ribosomal RNA". It matches the Rfam family "Bacterial small subunit ribosomal RNA", at positions 29 to 301 of the family's 1533-position model. The record is from RNAcentral.